Molecule: ribosomal RNA, 253 nt
Filed under: uncultured bacterium
Lineage: Bacteria
Description: partial 16S ribosomal RNA
Rfam family: Bacterial small subunit ribosomal RNA
Source: RNAcentral
UACGUAGGGGGCAAGCGUUGUCCGGAAUUAUUGGGCGUAAAGAGCGCGUAGGCGGUCCGAUAAGUCGGCUGUGAAAGUCAAGGGCUCAACCCUUGGAAGCCGGCCGAUACUGUCGGACUAGAGUCCGGAAGAGGCAAGUGGAAUUCCCGGUGUAGCGGUGAAAUGCGCAGAUAUCGGGAGGAACACCAAUGGCGAAGGCAGCUUGCUGGGACGGUACUGACGCUGAGACGCGAAAGCGUGGGGAGCGAACAGG